GCCCCGGUAGCUCAAUUGGAUAGAGUGAUGGACUUCGAAUCCAGGGGUUGGGAGUUCGAAUCUCCCCCGGGGUA
Molecule: transfer RNA, 74 nt
Filed under: Planctomycetes bacterium RBG_16_43_13
Lineage: Bacteria; Pseudomonadati; Planctomycetota
Description: tRNA-Arg
Rfam family: tRNA
About the family: Transfer RNA (tRNA) molecules are approximately 80 nucleotides in length. Their secondary structure includes four short double-helical elements and three loops (D, anti-codon, and T loops). Further hydrogen bonds mediate the characteristic L-shaped molecular structure. tRNAs have two regions of fundamental functional importance: the anti-codon, which is responsible for specific mRNA codon recognition, and the 3' end, to which the tRNAs corresponding amino acid is attached (by aminoacyl-tRNA synthetases). tRNAs cope with the degeneracy of the genetic code in two manners: having more than one tRNA (with a specific anti-codon) for a particular amino acid; and 'wobble' base-pairing, i.e. permitting non-standard base-pairing at the 3rd anti-codon position.
Source: RNAcentral